This 449-nucleotide ribosomal RNA is filed under the name uncultured bacterium. Its description in RNAcentral is "bacterial SSU rRNA". It matches the Rfam family "Bacterial small subunit ribosomal RNA", at positions 329 to 795 of the family's 1533-position model. The record is from RNAcentral.
UACCAGACUCCUACGGGAGGCAGCAGUGGGGAAUAUUGCACAAUGGGGGAAACCCUGAUGCAGCGACGCCGCGUGAGCGAUGAAGUAUUUCGGUAUGUAAAGCUCUAUCAGCAGGGAAGAAGAUGACGGUACCUGACUAAGAAGCCCCGGCUAACUACGUGCCAGCAGCCGCGGUAAUACGUAGGGGGCAAGCGUUAUCCGGAUUUACUGGGUGUAAAGGGAGCGUAGACGGCGGCGCAAGCCAGAUGUGAAAGCCCGGGGCUCAACUCCGGGACUGCAUUUGGAACUGUGUGGCUGGAGUGUCGGAGAGGCAGGCGGAAUUCCUAGUGUAGCGGUGAAAUGCGUAGAUAUUAGGAGGAGCACCAGUGGCGAAGGCGGCCUGCUGGACGAUGACUGACGUUGAGGCUCGAAAGCGUGGGGAGCAAACAGGAUUAGAUACCCUUGUAUCA